Molecule: non-coding RNA, 1098 nt
Organism: Triticum urartu
Lineage: Eukaryota; Viridiplantae; Streptophyta; Magnoliopsida; Poales; Poaceae
Source: RefSeq, a predicted model, not a curated record
CCCGACACUGAGAGCAAUUUAUCUAUCUUUUUUUUGUUGCGAAAUAAGCAAUUUAUCCUCCCCCUUCGUGCGCCGCAUAAGGCAAGAACCUCAUGGCUAUGGCGAUGGCGGACGUAGGAGACGACGCAUUCGAGUUCCUCUCGGAUCCGGUUGACAGAUUUCCCCUGCCAGAUCUCGCCGCCGCAGAAUCGUUGGUGGCCGGCGAAGCAAGCCAAACUCCUAUGUAUGGCCGCUGAGUCAAGCAUUGGUGAUGCCGGCGAUGCUUCGGAGACAUUAGAACUAGAGUUGAACAGCGCCUGCGAUGGAAUGACCCUAUCCGCGCCAAAUUCAGAGCAUUCCACAGGCAAAGACGACCCUCAAGAUCCUGGCUGGACGAAAAGAAUGCUUGUUGGUGUGCACCUGAUGAACGCCCCCGUGUGCUGGCAGAAUGAGUGCCCUGGAGAAAACAUUGAGCAGAUAUGCAGAAAAGAAAACGGAGACAGUCAUAAUUCCUGCUGUAGGAAGCAACUUUGAUUCACUCGGGGGAAUCCCAAAGAAGAGUAACACACGGACAUGCCAAUGCAGGUGCCCCGCAAUGAUACGAUUGCUUCGAUCAAAUGACAAUGGCUGGUACAGAAGCGAGUACAGACCAGCGCAUAACCAUUCACUAACAGAAAAAUAUGGGGAGAAAGUUUACUAGCCUUCGCACAGGCAUAUUGAUAUAUACACCCGUGACGUUGUGAAGCAACUCCGUGAAAAAUGAUAUUAGUGUUGGCAAGGUCUACAAUAUAAUUGGUAGUUUCUUUGGUUCAAUGACCAACGUACCAUUCAUCAAAAGAGCAUUAGUCGAGAACAAGCAGACGAUGAUGUGAAUAAGACAAUGGAUGUUUUUGCUGAGUUGGGAGCAAAGGAUUCUGGGCUCUACUACAGAGUACAACCUGAUGAGGAGAGCCGCAUACGGAAUUUGUUAUGGUCAACAGGAGCAAGCAGAGCACAAUACCAUUAUUCCGGAGAUGCAAUUGAAGAAAAUAUGCCCUAGAGGCAAUAAUAAAGUUAUUAUUUAUUUUCUUAUAUCAUGAUAAAUGUUUAUUAUUCAUGUUAGAAUUGUAUUAACCGGAA